This 642-nucleotide ribosomal RNA is filed under the name uncultured bacterium. Its description in RNAcentral is "bacterial SSU rRNA". It matches the Rfam family "Bacterial small subunit ribosomal RNA", at positions 202 to 842 of the family's 1533-position model. The record is from RNAcentral.
CAAAGGGAUUACCGGUGGCGGAUGGGCAUGCGGCGCAUUAGCUAGUCGGCGGGGUAACGGCCCACCGAGGCGACGAUGCGUAGGGGUUCUGAGAGGAAGGUCCCCCACACUGGUACUGAGACACGGACCAGACUCCUACGGGAGGCAGCAGUGAGGAAUAUUGGUCAAUGGGCGCGAGCCUGAACCAGCCAAGUCGCGUGAGGGAUGGCGGUCCUACGGAUUGUAAACCUCUUUUGCCGGGGAGCAAGCGUGCGUUCGUGAACGCGCGUCGAGAGUACCCGGAGAAAAAGCAUCGGCUAACUCCGUGCCAGCAGCCGCGGUAAUACGGAGGAUGCGAGCGUUAUCCGGAUUUAUUGGGUUUAAAGGGUGCGUAGGCGGGAUGCCAAGUCAGCGGUAAAAAUGCGGUGCUCAACGCCGUCGAGCCGUUGAAACUGGCGUUCUUGAGUGGGCGAGAAGUAUGCGGAAUGCGUGGUGUAGCGGUGAAAUGCAUAGAUAUCACGCAGAACUCCGAUUGCGAAGGCAGCAUACCGGCGCCCUACUGACGCUGAGGCACGAAAGCGUGGGUAUCGAACAGGAUUAGAUACCCUGGUAGUCCACGCAGUAAACGAUGAAUGCUAACUGUCCGGUGCGAGUGAGCGCUGG